GUGUUGGGGUGGGGUGGGUUGUAUAACCUUAAUGGUUUUUCUGUAAUAUUAUUUUUAGUUGAGCCUGCAACUCCAUGUUCACCUAAUAAGAAUUGUAAUGUAACCUUGAUUGUAUUACAAAUACAUUUGCAUUCAACCAAACAAAGCCCAAGGGUGUGGGCAUUUUUUUUCAAAGUUUUUGUUUUAGGCUUCAUUAGCUGAAAUGAAAUGUAAGUCCAACUGUUGAUUAUUGAAAUUGUUAAAAACAUGGAUGUGUAGCAGUUUUACCUAUACUAUCAUUCUGACUAACAGUUUUAUUAUCAUUCUGCAGUCUCUAAUUUGUGAAUUUGUUAACUUGAAUUAUUUAAAGAGAAGUGGUUUGUUGCUAUCAUAUGCAAUG
This 379-nucleotide unclassified non-coding RNA is filed under the name Hevea brasiliensis (rubber tree). Lineage: Eukaryota; Viridiplantae; Streptophyta; Magnoliopsida; Malpighiales; Euphorbiaceae. The record is from RNAcentral.